UGGCUCAGUGGAUAGAGCGUUGGCCUGCAGGCCAAGGAUCCCAGGUUCGAUUCCAGG
Molecule: transfer RNA, 57 nt
Filed under: Myotis davidii
Lineage: Eukaryota; Metazoa; Chordata; Mammalia; Chiroptera; Vespertilionidae
Source: Rfam by way of RNAcentral